CUAGCUGACCGGUGUUCUGGC
RNAcentral lists this non-coding RNA (21 nucleotides) under Arabidopsis thaliana (thale cress). The record is from RNAcentral. Lineage: Eukaryota; Viridiplantae; Streptophyta; Magnoliopsida; Brassicales; Brassicaceae.